RNAcentral lists this ribosomal RNA (253 nucleotides) under uncultured bacterium. RNAcentral's name for it is "partial 16S ribosomal RNA". It matches the Rfam family "Bacterial small subunit ribosomal RNA", at positions 524 to 776 of the family's 1533-position model. The record is from RNAcentral.
UACGUAGGGUGCGAGCGUUGUCCGGAAUUAUUGGGCGUAAAGGGCUCGUAGGCGGUUUGUCACGUCGGGAGUGAAAACUCGGGGCUUAACCCCGAGCCUGCUUCCGAUACGGGCUGACUAGAGGUAUGCAGGGGAGAACGGAAUUCCUGGUGUAGCGGUGAAAUGCGCAGAUAUCAGGAGGAACACCGGUGGCGAAGGCGGUUCUCUGGGCAUUACCUGACGCUGAGGCUCGAAAGCGUGGGGAGCAAACAGG